AUUGAACGCUGGCGGCAUGCCUUACACAUGCAAAGUCGAACGGCAGCACGGGAGCAAUCCUGGUGGCGAGUGGCGAACGGGUGAGUAAUAUAUCGGAACGUGCCCAGUCGUGGGGGAUAACGUAGCGAAAGCUACGCUAAUACCGCAUACGAUCUAUGGAUGAAAGCGGGGGAUCGCAAGACCUCGCGCGAUUGGAGCGGCCGAUAUCAGAUUAGGUAGUUGGUGAGGUAAAGGCUCACCAAGCCGACGAUCUGUAGCUGGUCUGAGAGGACGACCAGCCACACUGGGACUGAGACACGGCCCAGACUCCUACGGGAGGCAGCAGUGGGGAAUUUUGGACAAUGGGCGCAAGCCUGAUCCAGCAAUGCCGCGUGCAGGAUGAAGGCCCUCGGGUUGUAAACUGCUUUUGUACGGAACGAAAAGGUUUCUCUUAAUACGAGGAGCUCAUGACGGUACCGUAAGAAUAAGCACCGGCUAACUACGUG
This 485-nucleotide ribosomal RNA is filed under the name uncultured bacterium. RNAcentral's name for it is "bacterial SSU rRNA". It matches the Rfam family "Bacterial small subunit ribosomal RNA", at positions 30 to 507 of the family's 1533-position model. The record is from RNAcentral.